GAUGAACGCUGGCGGCGUGCCUAAUACAUGCAAGUCGAGCGAACGGACGAGAAGCUUGCUUCUCUGAUGUUAGCGGCGGACGGGUGAGUAACACGUGGAUAACCUACCUAUAAGACUGGGAUAACUUCGGGAAACCGGAGCUAAUACCGGAUAAUAUUUUGAACCGCAUGGUUCAAAAGUGAAAGACGGUCUUGCUGUCACUUAUAGAUGGAUCCGCGCUGCAUUAGCUAGUUGGUAAGGUAACGGCUUACCAAGGCAACGAUGCAUAGCCGACCUGAGAGGGUGAUCGGCCACACGGGAACUGAGACACGGUCCAGACUCCUACGGGAGGCAGCAGUAGGGAAUCUUACGCAAUGGGCGAAAGCCUGACGGAGCAACACCGCGUGAGUGAUGAAGGUCUUCGGAUCGUAAAACUCUGUUAUUAGGGAAGAACAUAUGAGUAAGUAAAUGUGCACAUAUUGACGGUACCUAAUCAGAAAGCCACGGCUAACUACGUG
Molecule: ribosomal RNA, 497 nt
Filed under: uncultured bacterium
Lineage: Bacteria
Description: partial 16S ribosomal RNA
Rfam family: Bacterial small subunit ribosomal RNA
Source: RNAcentral